Molecule: long non-coding RNA, 805 nt
Filed under: Sus scrofa (pig)
Lineage: Eukaryota; Metazoa; Chordata; Mammalia; Artiodactyla; Suidae
Description: lncRNA (ENSSSCG00070016697.1)
Source: RNAcentral
AAAUUGAGACGCCUGGGUGGGGGCUGGGCACCGAAUCCUCGGCUCCAGAGAUUCCCAGGAGGAGUGUAACACCUGCUGAUUUGACGCUUUUCCGUCUAGCCAUUCCAUGGCAUGGAACAAAAAUGACAAAUAUGGCAGAGGGACUCUUGUGGACUUGAAGAGGUUGAAGAGACCUGCAGGGAAUCCAGGUGAGUUUUAUUCUAGCGUAUCAUUUCCUGAUGGCCUUGACUUGUAAGAAAACCGUGCUUUUCAGCUCUUGUAAAAACCGUUAAAAUGGAGUUAGUAAGAAAAUUUUUUUCUCCCCAUUUUUUUUUAUUGUGGUAAAUACAUGUAACAUAAAAUUUACCAUCUUAACCAUUUUCAAGUAUAUAGUUCAGUGGUUUUAAGUACAUUGUUGUGCAACUAUCAUCUCAAACCAUCUAUAGAACUUUUUUCAUCUUGCAAAACUGAAACUCUGUACCCAUUAAACAACUUCCAAUCCACCUUUCCCCCUCUUCUCACAACCACCAUUUUUCUUUCUGUAUCUAUGCAUUGACUACUCUAGCACCUCAUAUGAGUGAAAUAGUGUAUAGAAUAUAUCUUUCUGUGACCAGAUUAUUUCACUUAGUGUAAUGUCCUCAAGUUUCAUCCAUGUGUCAGAUUUUCCUUCCCAUUUAAGAUAUUAAAAUUAUAUUGUAUGUAUGGACCACAUUUUUCUUAGCCAUCAUCCAUUGAUGGAUUCUUGGAUUGUUUCUACAUUUAGCUCCAUAAUACUACUACUAUAACAGUUAUUCAAAUAAAAAUACAAAUGUAUAAUGAUUAUACA